GGGCCCGCACAAGCGGUGGAGCAUGUGGUUUAAUUCGAUGAUAAGCGGAAAACCUUACCAGGGCUUGACAUAUAGCUGCAAAUCCGCCGAAAGGCGGACUCCUUCGAGGGUGCUAUACAGGUGCUGCAUGGUUGUCGUCAGCUCGUGCCGUGAGGUGUAGCCUUAAGUGGUUUAACGAGCGCAACCCUCAUUCUAUGUUAAUUUUCCAUAGAAAACUGCCUCGCUCAACGGGGAGGAAGGUGAGGAUGACGUCAAAUCAGCAUGGCUCUUACGCCCUGGGCGACACACGUGCUACAAUGGCCGGUACAAAGGGUUGCUAAAUCGCAAGAUGGAGCCAAUCCCAAUCAAAGCCGGUCUCAGUUCGGAUUGAGGUCUGAAAUUCGACCUCAUGAAGUUGGAAUCGCUAGUAACCGUGGAUCAGAAUGCCACGGUGAAUACGUUCUCGGGCCUU
Molecule: ribosomal RNA, 451 nt
Filed under: uncultured bacterium
Lineage: Bacteria
Description: bacterial SSU rRNA
Rfam family: Bacterial small subunit ribosomal RNA
Source: RNAcentral